UACGGAGGGUGCAAGCGUUAUCCGGAUUCACUGGGUUUAAAGGGUGCGUAGGCGGACAGGUAAGUCAGUGGUGAAAUCUUCGAGCUUAACUCGGAAACUGCCGUUGAUACUAUUUGUCUUGAAUAACGUUGAGGUGAGCGGAAUAUGUCAUGUAGCGGUGAAAUGCUUAGAUAUGACAUAGAACACCGAUUGCGAAGGCAGCUCACUAAACGCUCAUUGACGCUGAGGCACGAAAGCGUGGGGAUCAAAC
RNAcentral lists this ribosomal RNA (250 nucleotides) under uncultured bacterium. RNAcentral's name for it is "partial 16S ribosomal RNA". It matches the Rfam family "Bacterial small subunit ribosomal RNA", at positions 524 to 773 of the family's 1533-position model. The record is from RNAcentral.